Molecule: RNA transcript, 2193 nt
Organism: Hevea brasiliensis (rubber tree)
Lineage: Eukaryota; Viridiplantae; Streptophyta; Magnoliopsida; Malpighiales; Euphorbiaceae
Gene name: TMV resistance protein N
Exons: 3
Source: RefSeq, a predicted model, not a curated record
UGACGCAGAAUAGUUUACACACGCUCACGAAAUAUUCAUCUUUAGUAAUUUGCUCUCUCUAACUUCUUCAAACUCAAUUGCACAAUAUCCUUCUUUUAUCACUUAUCAUGGCUUCUACUUCUUCAUCAGCCCCUCCCCGCAAGUAUGAUGUUUUUAUUAGUUUUAGAGGCAAAGAAAUCCGCAAGCGUUUUCUAUCCCAUCUCUUUCAUUCUUUGGUUCGAAAACAAAUCAAAACCUUCUUGGAUGAAAGCCUUGAUAAAGGAGAAGAGAUUUCACCCGCUCUCUUGAAAAUAAUCCAAGAAUCAAGUCUCUCAAUAGUCAUUUUCUCUGAAAAUUACGCAGAUUCUCCAUGGUAUUUGGAUGAGCUUGUGAAGAUACUUGAAUGCAAGGAAACUUUAGGACAAAUAGUCCCACCAGUUUUUUAUGAAGUAGAUCCAACUGACGUUCAAGAGCCGAGAGGAAAAUUUAAGGAGGCAUUUGAUAUUGCUAAGCAUGAAGAACAAGUUAAAGGCAGUCUACAAAAGGUGGAUAAAUGGAAGCAUGCUUUGAUAGAAGUAAGCAACUUUUCUGGAUGGGAUUCACGAGAUAACCCCUUGGAAAUUUGAAAUUAAUGGAUCUUAGCUGCUCUGAGGACCUGAUCAGGAUUUCUGACUUGUCUAGUACUGCCCCAAAUCUUGAGUUUUUAUAUUUGUGUAGAUGUAGAAGUUUGGUUGAGAUUCCAUCAUCUCUUCAAUAUCUAAGCAAGCUUACUGAGCUAUAUCUACAUAGGUGUUAUAAAAUCACAGACUGUCCAAAGAUUCCCUGUGAUGUAAGGAUUCUAAUUUUAGAUGAAACUGGAAAAGAACAACUGCCCUCUAUUGGGUAUUUGUCUAAACUUGUCAAAUUGUCCUUGCGUGGGUGUACAAGACUAGCGAGUCUUCCAAGAAGCAUUGGCAAUUUGAAACAUCUUGAAGAACUUGAUCUCCGUGAAUGCUUACCAAGUCUUCCAGAAAGCAUCAAACAACUUUCGGAAUUAAAACUGCUUUAUUUAAAUGGUUGCAAGAGACUUAAAUGUUUACCAGAGCUUCCAUCAUGCUUAGAAGACUUAAAUGCAUCAGAUUGCAGCUCUUUGGAAUCUGCAUCAUCAUUCCUUUUCCAAGAUGAUAAUAAGUUUUACAAUCUUGUGUUUGAUAAUUGCGUCAAUCUUGAAAAGAAUAAAGUCAUGGAGGAUGUUUUCGAAGCGCAUCUGUUGGGUCAGACAGUUUUUUUACAUAUGGCAGGAGGUGAAGUACCAGAAAGGAUGAGAUAUAAGAAUCAAAGUGGAUCCUUGCUUACAUUCAUACUUGACCUUCGUCACUUAAUUGCCUUCUCUUUCUGCGCUGUUCUUCGUCCCACAAAUUAUUCUUAUCGUCUUCCGAACGACAUUAUAAGUAGUGAGUUGUAUUACAGAGAUAAAUCUGGACAUUUGCAUAGUCAUAGAUUCUUUUUCUUUGAUUAUCGGCAGGAUUUUCAGUAUUCAUCAGAACACUUGUGGCUUUGGUUCAGUCAUAAUAAUUUCAACUAUUUUGAUGAAGAUGGUUUCGUUCUGGUCGCAUUUCACUUCCACAUUCAGGCCUUGGCAUUAUCUAGUGACGAGUGGAUAAUUAAGUGCGGGGUCCAUCCUAUAUACGAACAUGAGGAUGGCGAAGAAGGCAAACCUCCUCUUGAAAGAUUGGAACAAAAUGACUUUCUGAAUCAUAGGAGGAGGACAAGGAAGAGGAACCAAACCUCCUCUAUCAAAUUCUAAAUCUCUGUCUUAUACCUCUUCCUCUUCAUGGUUGCCUAAGCCUGACCAAAGCAAACGCAAAACCAAAAACAGCUCCACCAACACAUUCUUCGGUUCUCCAGUACUCAAAAGCUCAGACAAUAUACAAUUUGCUGCUCCAUAUUCUAUUUGUUAAAGCUUAAAUCUUCCAAUUACACAUUUAUGGGUUUUAUUACUUCACUUUCUCAUUUCAUGUAUGCCAUUAUUACGUGACACGUAGGAAUUGUUGUACAUAAAACAAUUAUAAUAUAACCAUUGACCAUGGUGAAUCCCAUCAUAAUUUAUUGUCAAAAUCUAUCCAUUAUAUAUACAACAAUUGUAUGGAAUAAUUUCUCAUUGUGAUAUAUAUAGGGAAGAAAGUUCUGAUAAUGUCAUAAUGAUUUGUAUAUAUAUUAUGCAAGUGAUGCCUG